UGGGGAAUUUUGCGCAAUGGGCGAAAGCCUGACGCAGCAACGCCGCGUGUGUGAUGAAGGUCUUCGGAUCGUAAAGCACUUUCGACCGGGACGAACACCUGUUGGCCAAUAUCCAACAGCCUGACGGUACCGGGAGAAGAAGCACCGGCUAACUCUGUGCCAGCAGCCGCGGUAAUACAGAGGGUGCAAGCGUUGUUCGGAAUUAUUGGGCGUAAAGCGCGUGUAGGCGGCUUUGCAAGUCGGGUGUGAAAGCCCUCAGCUCAACUGAGGAAGUGCGCCCGAAACUGCAGAGCUUGAGUGCCGGAGAGGGUGGCGGAAUUCCCCAAGUAGAGGUGAAAUUCGUAGAUAUGGGGAGGAACACCGGUGGCGAAGGCGGCCACCUGGACGGUAACUGACGCUGAGACGCGAAAGCAUGGGUAGCAAACAGGAUUAGAUACCCGCGUAGUCC
RNAcentral lists this ribosomal RNA (448 nucleotides) under uncultured bacterium. RNAcentral's name for it is "bacterial SSU rRNA". It matches the Rfam family "Bacterial small subunit ribosomal RNA", at positions 355 to 796 of the family's 1533-position model. The record is from RNAcentral.